GGGGAAUAUUGCACAAUGGGCGAAAGCCUGAUGCAGCAACGCCGCGUGAGUGAUGAAGGUCUUCGGAUUGUAAAGCUCUGUCUUUGGGGACGAUAAUGACGGUACCCAAGGAGGAAGCCACGGCUAACUACGUGCCAGCAGCCGCGGUAAUACGUAGGUGGCGAGCGUUGUCCGGAUUUACUGGGCGUAAAGGAUGCGUAGGCGGAUGUUUAAGUGAGAUGUGAAAUUCCCGGGCUUAACGUGGGGGCUGCAUUUCAAACUGGAUAUCUAGAGUGCAGGAGAGGAGAAUGGAAUUCCUAGUGUAGCGGUGAAAUGCGUAGAGAUUAGGAAGAACACCAGUGGCGAAGGCGAUUCUCUGGACGGUAACUGACGCUGAGGCAUGAAAGCGUGGGUAGCAAAC
This 400-nucleotide ribosomal RNA is filed under the name uncultured bacterium. Its description in RNAcentral is "bacterial SSU rRNA". It matches the Rfam family "Bacterial small subunit ribosomal RNA", at positions 356 to 773 of the family's 1533-position model. The record is from RNAcentral.